AUACGGAGGGUGCAAGUGUUAAUCGGAAUUACUGGGCGUAAAGCGUACGUAGGCGGUUUAUUAAGUCAGAUGUGAAAGCCCCGGGCUUAACCUGGGAACUGCAUUUGAAACUAGUAGACUAGAGUAUGGUAGAGGGGGGUAGAAUUCCUAGUGUAGCGGUGAAAUGCGUAGAUAUUAGGAGGAAUACCAGUGGCGAAGGCGGCCCCCUGGACCAAUACUGACGCUGAGGUACGAAAGCGUGGGGAGCGAACAGGAUUAGAAACCCCAGUAGUCC
Molecule: ribosomal RNA, 274 nt
Filed under: uncultured bacterium
Lineage: Bacteria
Description: partial 16S ribosomal RNA
Rfam family: Bacterial small subunit ribosomal RNA
Source: RNAcentral